This 201-nucleotide ribosomal RNA is filed under the name Bacillus licheniformis. RNAcentral describes it as "partial 23S ribosomal RNA". It matches the Rfam family "Bacterial large subunit ribosomal RNA", at positions 309 to 506 of the family's 2925-position model. The record is from RNAcentral. Lineage: Bacteria; Bacillati; Bacillota; Bacilli; Caryophanales; Bacillaceae.
UACGGAGUUGCAAAAGAACGAGGUAGAAGAAGAAGUCUGGAAAGGCCCGCCAUAGGAGGUAACAGCCCUGUAGUCAAAACUUCGUUCUCUCCUGAGUGGAUCCUGAGUACGGCGGAACACGUGAAAUUCCGUCGGAAUCCGGGAGGACCAUCUCCCAAGGCUAAAUACUCCCUAGUGACCGAUAGUGAACCAGUACCGUGA